This 301-nucleotide ribosomal RNA is filed under the name uncultured bacterium. Its description in RNAcentral is "partial 16S ribosomal RNA". It matches the Rfam family "Bacterial small subunit ribosomal RNA", at positions 509 to 807 of the family's 1533-position model. The record is from RNAcentral.
CAGCCGCCGCGGGAAUACGUAGGUGGCAAGCGUUGUCCGGAAUUAUUGGGCGUAAAGGGCUCGCAGGCGGUUUCCUAAGUCUGAUGUGAAAGCCCCCGGCUCAACCGGGGAGGGUCAUUGGAAACUGGGAAGCUUGAGUGCAGAAGAGGAGAGUGGAAUUCCACGUGUAGCGGUGAAAUGCGUAGAGAUGUGGAGGAACACCAGUGGCGAAGGCGACUCUCUGGUCUGUAACUGACGCUGAGGAGCGAAAGUGUGGGGAGCGAACAGGAUUAGAUACCCCAGUAGUCCCUGUCUCUUAUAC